Molecule: long non-coding RNA, 470 nt
Organism: Mangifera indica (mango)
Lineage: Eukaryota; Viridiplantae; Streptophyta; Magnoliopsida; Sapindales; Anacardiaceae
Exons: 3
Source: RefSeq, a predicted model, not a curated record
UAUUUAUUUAUAAAUACUUACGAGUAUUCAAAGUUUGCUGGGUAUGAAUAAUUCUGCUACAAAGUUACUCACAAAUUUCGAAAUAGAAGUUCAAUGUGCUCAAUUGUUGAAUACAUAUACACAUGUUUCAAUUUUUACAGCCUUUGAAGAAGUUUCCAUUCUGCUUUCAGACUGAGGCUAAUUUGGUAAUCCCAAGGAUGCAAUGAAACAAGAAAACAGGGGAGGGGAAGAUUCACUUCAAAUGGUUACAAAGUAAGCUGUUUGAUCUCUGCUUUAAUUUUCCAUGUGGAGAAAUGAAGUUUAAUGCUUUGUUUUCCAUCUUCUGGUUUGUUUUCUUGCCUUUUCCGGUGAUGUAGUGGAGCAAGUUUAGCAGACCUUGAUUUUCUUUUAGAAUCAAACUGAAAGGCGAAGUAUAAUACAAAAGUAAUUUGAUUCUCCUUCACCUAGGCUUCAGAUUUCAUCUUCAAAAG